GAGAGAGAUAGCAAAAGAGAGCCAGAGAGGAAGAAGACCUCCAUCCGUCAGCACGGGCCGCCGCGAUUCGAAGAAAGUCCCUUGCCCUCAAUCGUCAGAAAGGAGAGAAGAAAAAGUUGAGAAGAAAGAAGACAAACCCAGAAGUGGUUAAAUAAACUGCAAGGGACUUUCAGGGUAAAAGAAAUGAAGAACCCAAUUGUACAUAUUGAAGGGGGAGAGAUUUGGACUGAAAACAAAGAAAAGAGGAAGUUCAUAGAAAAAUAUACUGAUAGGAAGCUCCUACAACUGGUGGAUUAUAAAAAUCGGCCAACUCCUCGCUGUUUUACAUUUAUGUGAGAACCUCACUUAAGAAUAAUCGUCUGGUUUCUAAGGUCUCGAUUACCGCCUUUUGCCUAUGUU
This is a long non-coding RNA of Rosa chinensis, 399 nucleotides long. RefSeq lists it as uncharacterized. Lineage: Eukaryota; Viridiplantae; Streptophyta; Magnoliopsida; Rosales; Rosaceae. The record is from RefSeq and is a predicted model, not a curated record. The transcript is spliced from 4 exons.